UACGUAGGGGGCAAGCGUUGUCCGGAAUCAUUGGGCGUAAAGAGCGUGUAGGCGGCCCGAUAAGUCCGCUGUGAAAGUCCAGGGCUCAACCCUGGAAUGCCGGUGGAUACUGUCGGGCUCGAAUCCGGAAGAGGUGAGUGGAAUUCCCGGUGUAGCGGUGAAAUGCGCAGAUAUCAGGAGGAACACCAAUGGCGAAGGCAGCUCACUGGGACGGUAUUGACGCUGAGACGCGAAAGCGUGGGGAGCAAACAGG
Molecule: ribosomal RNA, 253 nt
Filed under: uncultured bacterium
Lineage: Bacteria
Description: partial 16S ribosomal RNA
Rfam family: Bacterial small subunit ribosomal RNA
Source: RNAcentral